GAAGUGCGAUAAGCAAUGCGAAUUGCAGGAUUCCGCGAAUCAUCAGAUCUUUGAACGCAAAUGGCGCCAGAGGGAUAUCCUUCUGGCAUGUCUGUUUCAGUGUCUAUGAGGUUUCAUUGUAAUCUUAAUGUGAUUGAAUUCAGCUUGUAUUUAUAAAAUACUAGCUGCUCUUUUCUCUCAUGAAAGAUGCGUGAGGAGAUCUUUCGGUCCAAUGAACCGGUCACAUCACUCGUAUGUGAUUUCAUUGGAAGCACCGAAUUAUCAUUUAUAACUCGCGGUAUCACAAAAGCAAUUAUUAUUAGAUGUUUUAUGCAUCAAAUAAUAAUAUUCUCUAUACCCUGCAUCUGAGAUAGGCAAGAUCACCCGCUGAACUUAA
RNAcentral lists this unclassified non-coding RNA (376 nucleotides) under uncultured fungus. RNAcentral's name for it is "sequence contains ITS1". The stretch from base 1 to 105 matches the Rfam family "5.8S ribosomal RNA", at positions 50 to 154 of the family's 154-position model. The record is from RNAcentral. Lineage: Eukaryota; Fungi.